GACGAACGCUGGCGGCGUGCUUAACACAUGCAAGUCGAACGGAAAGGCUCCAGCUUGCUGGAGUACUCGAGUGGCGAACGGGUGAGUAACACGUGGGCAAUCUGCCCUGCACUCUGGGAUAAGCCUGGGAAACUGGGUCUAAUACUGGAUAGGACCUUUCUCCUCAUGGGGUUUGGUGGAAAGUUUUUCGGUGCAGGAUGAGCCCGCGGCCUAUCAGCUUGUUGGUGGGGUAAUGGCCUACCAAGGCGACGACGGGUAGCCGGCCUGAGAGGGUGAUCGGCCACAUUGGGACUGAGAUACGGCCCAGACUCCUACGGGAGGCAGCAGUGGGGAAUAUUGCACAAUGGGCGGAAGCCUGAUGCAGCGACGCCGCGUGAGGGAUGACGGCCUUCGGGUUGUAAACCUCUUUCAGUAGGGACGAAGCGUAAGUGACGGUACCUGCAGAAGAAGCACCGGCUAACUACGUGCCAGCAGCCGCGGUAAUACGUAGGGUGCGAGCGUUGUCCGGAAUUACUGGGCGUAAAGAGCUCGUAGGCGGUUUGUCACGUCGUCUGUGAAAUCCUAGGGCUUAACCCUGGACGUGCAGGCGAUACGGGCUGACUUGAGUACUACAGGGGAGACUGGAAUUUCUGGUGUAGCGGUGGAAUGCACAGAUAUCAGGAAGAACACCGAUGGCGAAGGCAGGUCUCUGGGUAGUAACUGACGCUGAGGAGCGAAAGC
This 720-nucleotide ribosomal RNA is filed under the name uncultured Actinomycetes bacterium. RNAcentral's name for it is "bacterial SSU rRNA". It matches the Rfam family "Bacterial small subunit ribosomal RNA", at positions 28 to 760 of the family's 1533-position model. The record is from RNAcentral. Lineage: Bacteria; Bacillati; Actinomycetota; Actinomycetes.